Paramuricea clavata is the source of this 221-nucleotide non-coding RNA. The record is from the annotation of a GenBank genome assembly. Lineage: Eukaryota; Metazoa; Cnidaria; Anthozoa; Malacalcyonacea; Plexauridae.
UAAGAACAUAGCAGAUCCAUUAUCGAGACUGUUAAGACCUGAGUCUGAUACUUGUUGAGUCAGUGCAUGAGAUGAAUAUGUCAAGUUUGUAACUAGAGAGGCAACACCGGUUGCUAUGACAACUCGUGAAAUUGGGAGAGAGUCUGAACAUGAUCUAGAGUUACAAUCUGUACGUGAAUGUAUUAUGAGUGGUAAGUGGGAUUGCCUCGUACAUAAGGAAU